UUAGGCACCUUGUCUGGCUCAUGACCUAUUUAGUAUUUAUAUGCUGUUUAAUAUAACGUAGCCUAUUUUCAUGAUUAUUCAAAUAUGUUUUAUUCAAAUCCGUAUGGUUUGGUUUCAAUACCUGUGAGCGCAGAGCAGUAUUUCCAACCACUUGGUAUCCAAGAGAUCAUCAGACUCUGGGGAAGUAGAUAAAGGGCUUCAUUGCCAAAAUCCUGAAGUAUCCCUUUACGCAUCUUGCACUAUGAUGGGCGCAUUUCAUGUCUAUAUAAGAUGGAAGUGUCUCCUUGUCAUGUACUGACAGGUUGAUGGGGCCAACCGACAGGACAUGUUUAUCUCUCCCCACCUUCCUCUUUCCCCCGCAGAACAUGUUUAUCUCACUCUCUCUCUCUCUCUCCCGCGAGGACAUGUUUAUCUCACUCUCUCUCUCUCUCUCUCCCGGCAGGACAUGUUUAUAUCUCCCAACCUCUCCCAAAAUGUUUAUCUCACUCUCUCUCCCGGCAGGACAUGUUUAUCUCACUCUCUCUCUCUCUCUCUCCCGGAAGGACGUGGAGAUGAUGUGGAUGCGGUGGGACAUCGGUCAGGAGGGGAUAUUCUGUCCAUUAAGAAGGAGCGUGUGAAGGGAUCCUUUGUGUCCAUCCAUUCCUCUGGAUUUAGAGACUUCCUGCUGAAGCCAGAACUGCUGAGGGCUAUAGUGGACUGUGGCUUUGAGCAUCUCUCUGAGUUUCAGUAUGAGUGCAUCCCCCACAGAUGAUCCUGGUUGUGGAUGUGCUGUGCCAGGCCAAGUCUGGUAUGUUGUUCUGGCCACCCUACAGCAGCUGGAGCCUGUCACUAGACUGGUGUCCUGUGCUGGUGACAUGUCACACCUGAGAGCUGGCGUUUCAGAUCAACAAGGAGUCUUGAGAGAUUCUCCAUGCUGACUAU
Molecule: long non-coding RNA, 921 nt
Organism: Oncorhynchus tshawytscha (Chinook salmon)
Lineage: Eukaryota; Metazoa; Chordata; Actinopteri; Salmoniformes; Salmonidae
Exons: 3
Source: RefSeq, a predicted model, not a curated record